This 493-nucleotide ribosomal RNA is filed under the name uncultured bacterium. Its description in RNAcentral is "partial 16S ribosomal RNA". It matches the Rfam family "Bacterial small subunit ribosomal RNA", at positions 29 to 507 of the family's 1533-position model. The record is from RNAcentral.
ACGAACGCUGGCGGCGUGCUUAACACAUGCAAGUCGAACGGUGAAGCGCCUUCCUUUUUGGUGGGUGUGGAUGAGUGGCGAACGGGUGAGUAACACGUGAGUAACCUGCCCCCUUCUUCUGGAUAACCGCAUGAAAGUGUGGCUAAUACGGGAUAUUCUGGGUCUGUCGCAUGAUGGGUCUGGGAAAGAUAUUGUUUCGGUGGGGGAUGGGCUCGCGGCCUAUCAGCUUGUUGGUGGGGUGAUGGCCUACCAAGGCGGUGACGGGUAGCCGGCCUGAGAGGGUGGACGGUCACACUGGGACUGAGACACGGCCCAGACUCCUACGGGAGGCAGCAGUGGGGAAUAUUGCACAAUGGGCGCAAGCCUGAUGCAGCGACGCCGCGUGAGGGAUGGAGGCCUUCGGGUUGUGAACCUCUUUCGCCAGUGAAGCAGGCCUGCCUCGUUUGUGGGUGGGUUGACGGUAGCUGGAUAAGAGGCGCCGGCUAACUACGUG